RNAcentral lists this ribosomal RNA (661 nucleotides) under Carlowrightia arizonica. Its description in RNAcentral is "eukaryotic LSU rRNA". The stretch from base 236 to 391 matches the Rfam family "5.8S ribosomal RNA". Lineage: Eukaryota; Viridiplantae; Streptophyta; Magnoliopsida; Lamiales; Acanthaceae. The record is from RNAcentral.
AGGUGAACUGCGGAAGGAUCAUUGUCGAAACCUGCGAGGCAGACCCGCGAACGCGUGCUCCAACGUCGGCGCCGCGGGCCCGGCCGCGGUGCCCGCCGCCCCCCGCGCCCACGGCGCGGGGGCGGCCAAUGAACCCCGGCGCGGAACGCGCCAAGGAAAACCAAAACGAAGCGCCCACCCUCCCCCGUCCGCGGGGGAGGGGCGGCCGCCCCUCAUGUGUAUAACACGUCAAAACGACUCUCGGCAACGGAUAUCUCGGCUCUCGCAUCGAUGAAGAACGUAGCGAAAUGCGAUACUUGGUGUGAAUUGCAGAAUCCCGUGAACCAUCCAGUCUUUGAACGCAAGUUGCGCCCGAAGCCUUCGGGCCGAGGGCACGCCUGCCUGGGCGUCACGCAUCGCGUCGCCCCCCCCAGCCCCGCCCGUUCCGGGCGGCGCGCGAGGGGGUGCGGAGAAUGGCCUCCCGUGCGCACCCGUCGCGCGGCCGGCCCAAAUGCGAUCCCCCGGCGGCGCCCGUCGCGACCAGUGGUGGUUGAACAACAUACUCAACUCGCGCGCUGUAAGUCGUGCGGAGCGGCGUCGUCCGGCCAGGGCAUCGAACGAAACGACCCAAUCGGCGCCUCGGCGCCUCCGACCGCGACCCCAGGUCAGGCGGGAUUACCCG